This 443-nucleotide ribosomal RNA is filed under the name uncultured bacterium. RNAcentral's name for it is "partial 16S ribosomal RNA". It matches the Rfam family "Bacterial small subunit ribosomal RNA", at positions 338 to 795 of the family's 1533-position model. The record is from RNAcentral.
CCUACGGGAGGCAGCAGUGGGGAAUAUUGGACAAUGGGGGGAACCCUGACCCAGCGACGCCGCGUGAGUGAAGAAGUCUUUCGGUAUGUAAAGCUCUAUCCGCAGGGACGAAAGAAAUGACGGUACCUGACUAAUAAGCCACGGCUAACUACGUGCCAGCAGCCGCGGUAAUACGUAGGGGGCAAGCGUUAUCCGGAUUUAUUGGGUGUAAAGGGCGCGUAGACGGGGGUGCAAGUCUGAAGUGAAAGGCGAGGGCCCAACCCUGGGACUGCAUUGGAAACUGUGUGGCUGGAGUGCAGGAGAGGUAAGUGGAAUUCCGUGUGUAGCGGUGAAAUGCGUAGAUAUUAGGAGGAACACCAGUGGCGAAGGCGGAUUGCUGGACUGUAACUGACGUUGAGGCGCGAAAGCGUGGGGAGCAAACAGGAUUAGAUACCCUUGUAGUC